GACGAACGCUGGCGGCGUGCUUAACACAUGCAAGUCGAACGGAAAGGCCCUGCUUUUGUGGGGUGCUCGAGUGGCGAACGGGUGAGUAACACGUGAGUAACCUGCCCUUGACUUUGGGAUAACUUCAGGAAACUGGGGCUAAUACCGGAUAGGAGCUCCUGCUGCAUGGUGGGGGUUGGAAAGCUUCGGCGGUUGGGGAUGGACUCGCGGCUUAUCAGCUUGUUGGUGGGGUAGUGGCUUACCAAGGCUUUGACGGGUAGCCGGCCUGAGAGGGUGAACGGCCACAUUGGGACUGAGAGACGGACCAGACUCCUACGGGAGGCAGCAGUGGGGAAUAUUGCACAGUGGGCGGAAGCCUGAUGCAGCAACGCCGCGUGCGGGAUGACGGCCUUCGGGUUAUAAACCGCUUUCGCCUGUGACGAAGCGUGAGUGACGGUAAUGGGUAAAGAAGCACCGGCUAACUACGUG
This 468-nucleotide ribosomal RNA is filed under the name uncultured bacterium. RNAcentral's name for it is "partial 16S ribosomal RNA". It matches the Rfam family "Bacterial small subunit ribosomal RNA", at positions 28 to 507 of the family's 1533-position model. The record is from RNAcentral.